This 632-nucleotide ribosomal RNA is filed under the name Escherichia coli. RNAcentral describes it as "partial 23S ribosomal RNA". It matches the Rfam family "Bacterial large subunit ribosomal RNA", at positions 2251 to 2877 of the family's 2925-position model. The record is from RNAcentral. Lineage: Bacteria; Pseudomonadati; Pseudomonadota; Gammaproteobacteria; Enterobacterales; Enterobacteriaceae.
ACAGUGUCUGGUGGGUAGUUUGACUGGGGCGGUCUCCUCCUAAAGAGUAACGGAGGAGCACGAAGGUUGGCUAAUCCUGGUCGGACAUCAGGAGGUUAGUGCAAUGGCAUAAGCCAGCUUGACUGCGAGCGUGACGGCGCGAGCAGGUGCGAAAGCAGGUCAUAGUGAUCCGGUGGUUCUGAAUGGAAGGGCCAUCGCUCAACGGAUAAAAGGUACUCCGGGGAUAACAGGCUGAUACCGCCCAAGAGUUCAUAUCGACGGCGGUGUUUGGCACCUCGAUGUCGGCUCAUCACAUCCUGGGGCUGAAGUAGGUCCCAAGGGUAUGGCUGUUCGCCAUUUAAAGUGGUACGCGAGCUGGGUUUAGAACGUCGUGAGACAGUUCGGUCCCUAUCUGCCGUGGGCGCUGGAGAACUGAGGGGGGCUGCUCCUAGUACGAGAGGACCGGAGUGGACGCAUCACUGGUGUUCGGGUUGUCAUGCCAAUGGCACUGCCCGGUAGCUAAAUGCGGAAGAGAUAAGUGCUGAAAGCAUCUAAGCACGAAACUUGCCCCGAGAUGAGUUCUCCCUGACUCCUUGAGAGUCCUGAAGGAACGUUGAAGACGACGACGUUGAUAGGCCGGGUGUGUAAGCGCA